GAUGUAGUGUAAGAGGUAACACACCGGACUUUGACUCCGUCAUUGUGGGUUCGAGUCCCGCCGUC
RNAcentral lists this transfer RNA (65 nucleotides) under bovine gut metagenome. It matches the Rfam family "tRNA". From Rfam's summary of the family: Transfer RNA (tRNA) molecules are approximately 80 nucleotides in length. Their secondary structure includes four short double-helical elements and three loops (D, anti-codon, and T loops). Further hydrogen bonds mediate the characteristic L-shaped molecular structure. tRNAs have two regions of fundamental functional importance: the anti-codon, which is responsible for specific mRNA codon recognition, and the 3' end, to which the tRNAs corresponding amino acid is attached (by aminoacyl-tRNA synthetases). tRNAs cope with the degeneracy of the genetic code in two manners: having more than one tRNA (with a specific anti-codon) for a particular amino acid; and 'wobble' base-pairing, i.e. permitting non-standard base-pairing at the 3rd anti-codon position. The record is from RNAcentral.